UGGGGAGUUGACUAAUGGUAAGUCAGCAGACUCUGACUCUGCCUAUUCGGGGUUCGAAUCCCUGCUCCCCAGCCA
Molecule: transfer RNA, 75 nt
Filed under: Desulfobulbus sp.
Lineage: Bacteria; Pseudomonadati; Thermodesulfobacteriota; Desulfobulbia; Desulfobulbales; Desulfobulbaceae
Also listed under: 3 other names
Description: tRNA-Gln
Rfam family: tRNA
About the family: Transfer RNA (tRNA) molecules are approximately 80 nucleotides in length. Their secondary structure includes four short double-helical elements and three loops (D, anti-codon, and T loops). Further hydrogen bonds mediate the characteristic L-shaped molecular structure. tRNAs have two regions of fundamental functional importance: the anti-codon, which is responsible for specific mRNA codon recognition, and the 3' end, to which the tRNAs corresponding amino acid is attached (by aminoacyl-tRNA synthetases). tRNAs cope with the degeneracy of the genetic code in two manners: having more than one tRNA (with a specific anti-codon) for a particular amino acid; and 'wobble' base-pairing, i.e. permitting non-standard base-pairing at the 3rd anti-codon position.
Source: RNAcentral